UCCAAGAUUGGACAUGACCCUGAAAGUCAAUGGGGACUGCUCAGGGAUGCCAGACCACCUUCCCCCAACACGUUUGCCAGUACUUGGCGUCAUGGAGCCAGAUGAACUCCUCAUGCUGUCGCACGACUGAGAACUCCGUCUGGGCGAAGUGAGGGAGGCAGCUCUGGAAGCCGGGAAGCCUGUCUGAGAGAGAGAGAGCAGAGCGGUAGGCAGAGGAAGAGGGAGA
Molecule: non-coding RNA, 226 nt
Organism: Callorhinus ursinus (northern fur seal)
Lineage: Eukaryota; Metazoa; Chordata; Mammalia; Carnivora; Otariidae
Source: RefSeq, a predicted model, not a curated record